ACAGCCUUAUCACAGUGAAACAUCAGUUCUUGUACAAUCACUGAAGUUAAGCAACAUUGACCCUGGUUAGUAACUAGGUGGGUGACCACUUGGGAAUAACAAGUGCUGUAA
Molecule: non-coding RNA, 111 nt
Organism: Acanthosepion pharaonis
Lineage: Eukaryota; Metazoa; Mollusca; Cephalopoda; Sepiida; Sepiidae
Source: the annotation of a GenBank genome assembly